Long non-coding RNA from Homo sapiens (human), 336 nucleotides. RefSeq lists it as uncharacterized. The record is from RefSeq and is a predicted model, not a curated record. NCBI's taxonomy places the organism in Eukaryota, Metazoa, Chordata, Mammalia, Primates, Hominidae. The transcript is spliced from 3 exons.
AAAAGCAAAAGAGACAAGAACCUUCAAACUCCCUUCAGAGACCUGCCACUCCUGGACAGGUCCGUGCCUCCGGGAGCCAAGUGAAUAUGUGACUGCUUCCCCUUCAUCUUCUACCACGAUUGCAAGUUUCUUGAGUCCUCCCCAGCCAUACUUUCUAUACAGCCUGCAGAACUGACCCAGUUCAACAUGGAUGAAGGUCUUUGAGGAUCCCAAGGGAAGAAAAUACAUAAGACCAAGGGGAAACCAUAUUAUUCCGUGGUAAAGCAUGCCUAUUUCAUUUUAAUUAUCUCUUUUAAAUAUUUUCAUAGAUAGUCAAUGAUCUAGAAUGGAGGAAGU